This 824-nucleotide ribosomal RNA is filed under the name Jaera hopeana. RNAcentral's name for it is "SSU rRNA". It matches the Rfam family "Eukaryotic small subunit ribosomal RNA", at positions 1180 to 1789 of the family's 1831-position model. Lineage: Eukaryota; Metazoa; Arthropoda; Malacostraca; Isopoda; Janiridae. The record is from RNAcentral.
AGCCUGCGGCUUAAUUUGACUCAACACGGGAAAACUUACCAGGCCCUAACAUUUAUAGGACUGACAGAUUGAUAGCUCUUUCUCGAUAAAAUGGGUGGUGGUGCAUGGCCGUUCUUAGUUGGUGGAGUGGUCUGUCUGGUUGAUUCCGAUAACGAACGAGAUUCUAUCCUACUAAUUAGUGGGCGGAUCGAUUAACCUAUUCUCAAUGGCUUUCGACGUACGGCGUACUAGAGGGUACGUUUCUCGUUAAACGGGGAAUCGCUGUAUCGCGCGUCGUCGUCGUCGUCGCGUAAUCUCGACGGGUUCGCUCGAAACGGUUACGCGCGCGCGCGCGCUCGAGAAAGUUCUCUCAUAAAAACGGUUCGUAUUCGAUCGGUGCGACGUAUCCGAUCGCCACGAGUUUAGGAACGUCCGUCUUAAAAUAUCUUCUUAGAGGGAUCAAUGGCGAUAUGUAGCCGUACGAGAAAGAGCAAUAACAGGUCUGUGAUGCCCUUAGAUGUUCUGGGCAGCACGCGCGCUACAAUGUAGUGAUCAACGUGUGUUUAUUUCGAUAUAAAACCAUUUCUGAAAAGAAUUGGCAACCCUUUCAAAGCCCUACUCGAUAGGGAUUGGGGAUUGUAAUUAUUUCCCAUAAACGAGGAAUUCCUAGUAAUCGCGAAUCAUUUAAUUCGUGCUGAUUACGUCCCUGCCCUUUGUACACACCGCCCGUCGCUACUACCGAUUGAAUGGUUCAGUGAGGCCAUUGGACUAUUACCUUAAGUCGAAUAAACUAUAUAGGUCGAUAGAAAGAUGUCCGAACUCGAUCAUUUAGAGGAAGUAAAAGU